This 496-nucleotide ribosomal RNA is filed under the name uncultured Pseudomonadota bacterium. RNAcentral's name for it is "bacterial SSU rRNA". It matches the Rfam family "Bacterial small subunit ribosomal RNA", at positions 355 to 844 of the family's 1533-position model. The record is from RNAcentral. Lineage: Bacteria; Pseudomonadati; Pseudomonadota.
UGGGGAAUUUUGGACAAUGGGCGCAAGCCUGAUCCAGCAAUGCCGCGUGCAGGAAGAAGGCCUUCGGGUUGUAAACUGCUUUUGUACGGAACGAAACGGUCCGGGUUAAUACCCUGGGCUAAUGACGGUACCGUAAGAAUAAGCACCGGCUAACUACGUGCCAGCAGCCGCGGUAAUACGUAGGGUGCAAGCGUUAAUCGGAAUUACUGGGCGUAAAGCGUGCGCAGGCGGUUUUUGAAGACAGGCGUGAAAUCCCCGGGCUCAACCUGGGAAUUGCGCUUGUGACUGCAAGGCUGGAGUGCGGCAGAGGGGGAUGGAAUUCCGCGUGUAGCAGUGAAAUGCGUAGAUAUGCGGAGGAACACCGAUGGCGAAGGCAAUCCCCUGGGCCUGCACUGACGCUCAUGCACGAAAGCGUGGGGAGCAAACAGGAUUAGAUACCCUGGUAGUCCACGCCCUAAACGAUGUCAACUGGUUGUUGGGUCUCUUCUGACUCAGU